RNAcentral lists this unclassified non-coding RNA (1015 nucleotides) under Melitaea cinxia (Glanville fritillary). RNAcentral describes it as "misc RNA ENSMCXG00005002099.1". The record is from RNAcentral. Lineage: Eukaryota; Metazoa; Arthropoda; Insecta; Lepidoptera; Nymphalidae.
CACAGCUUGUAUGUAAUAAGAAUUGAAGCUAGGUCAAAAAUUUGUUUCGAUAAAUAGUAGAUUCUCUGCCAUAAUCUUAUUUGUGAGAAUUAUAUUAAUUUUUAAAUUAUAAAACACAACUGUAUGCUGUCCCAAGUCCCCGACUUUAAUUUCUGUUACUUCUAGUACAACUACUUUUUUACUAAAAUUAUUCAAAAACGGGAUAUUUAUCACGUUUUUUUAUUUUCAUUUUGCGGAGCUCGAUAUUUUGACAUAAGAACUUGUUCGAAAUUACGAAUGUCUUGUUCACGAGACAAAAUCUUAUACUUUUGUAACAAUCAGUCAAAAUUAAAAAGUUGAAUCGAACAGUCACCUCCUGACAUAAGAAAAAAUCUUAUACCUCACUAGACUUCUGUUGCGAUUAUCUGUGCUGACAUUUUUGUUUAUCUUUUUGUUACGACGAGUUCAAUCGUGAUGUUUACUAGCUUAUAAUAAUAUCAAGUAGGCUUUUGAGGCACGUUAGAAUCGUCGUUUUACAAAGAAUAUAAAUAUUUUAAAUUCUGUUGACCAGGAUCAGUAAGUAACUCAAAACUUAUUAUUUUACAAAGUAACUUGACUAACAAAAAAUCUUAUAUAUAAGAUUUUUUGUUCUCGUUUUCGAGUUCUCGUGUUACAAUGUUAGUUACAAUCCUCUUCCGAAAAGGUUAGACCGAUUUUUAUGAAAUUUUGUGCGCAUAUCGGAUAGGUAUGAGAAUCGGCCAACAUCUAUUUUCCAUAUCCCUAAGUUAUAAGGGGGGAUUAAGGGGGUUAAUAACAUAUAUGGCAAAACAUUCCAAUUAUAACUGAGGUAGGGCACAGCAGGAAUUUUCUGCUCAAAAUAAGGACAAAAUAAUACUGUUUUCAAGCAGUAUUGUGUUCCUGUUGGUGAGUAAGGUGACCAGAGCUCCUGGGGGGAUUGGGGAUUGGGUCGGCAACGCGCUUACGAUGCUUCUGGUGUUGCAGGCGUCUAUAAGCUACGGUAAUCGCUUACCAUCAG